AGAGUUUGAUCAUGGCUCAGGACGAACGCUGGCGGCGUGCCUAACACAUGCAAGUCGAACGCGACUUGGGCUUCGGCCUAAGUUGAGUGGCGAACGGGUGAGUAACACGUGGGUGACCUACCUUCGAGUGGGGGAUAACGUCCCGAAAGGGACGCUAAUACCGCAUAACAUCCUGCCUUUGAACAGGUGGAGAUCAAAGCCGGGGAUCGCAAGACCUGGCGCUUGAUGAGGGGCCCGCGUCUGAUUAGCUAGUUGGUGGGGUAAUGGCUCACCGAGGCGACGAUCAAUAUCCGGCCUGAGAGGGCGGACGGACACACUGGGACUGAGACACGGCCCAGACUCCUACGGGAGGCAGCAGUGGGGAAUUGUUCGCAAUGGGCGCAAGCCUGACGACGCAACGCCGCGUGGAGGAUGAAGGUCUUCGGAUUGUAAACUCCUGUUGCUCGGGACGAAAAGCUUCGACCUAACACGUCGAGGUCUGACGGUACCGAGUGAGGAAGCCCCGGCUAACUCUGUGCCAGCAGCCGCGGUAAUAC
Molecule: ribosomal RNA, 536 nt
Filed under: uncultured bacterium
Lineage: Bacteria
Description: bacterial SSU rRNA
Rfam family: Bacterial small subunit ribosomal RNA
Source: RNAcentral